This 73-nucleotide transfer RNA is filed under the name Elusimicrobia bacterium RIFCSPLOWO2_01_FULL_59_12. Its description in RNAcentral is "tRNA-Thr". It matches the Rfam family "tRNA". Rfam says of the family: Transfer RNA (tRNA) molecules are approximately 80 nucleotides in length. The record is from RNAcentral. Lineage: Bacteria; Pseudomonadati; Elusimicrobiota.
GCCGAGGUAGCUCAAUUGGUAGAGCACUCCCUUCGUAAGGGAGAUGUUGUCGGUUCAAGUCCGAUCCUCGGCU